This 300-nucleotide ribosomal RNA is filed under the name uncultured Gammaproteobacteria bacterium. RNAcentral describes it as "bacterial SSU rRNA". It matches the Rfam family "Bacterial small subunit ribosomal RNA", at positions 115 to 418 of the family's 1533-position model. Lineage: Bacteria; Pseudomonadati; Pseudomonadota; Gammaproteobacteria. The record is from RNAcentral.
GCUUAGGAAUCUGCCCAACAGUGGGGGACAACUCGGGGAAACCCGAGCUAAUACCGCAUACGUCCUACGGGAGAAACGGGGGAGUCUUCGGACCUCGUGCUGUUGGAUGAGCCUAAGUCAGAUUAGCUUGUUGGUGGGGUAACGGCCUACCAAGGCUACGAUCUGUAGCUGGUCUGAGAGGACGAUCAGCCACACUGGAACUGAGACACGGUCCAGACUCCUACGGGAGGCAGCAGUGGGGAAUAUUGGACAAUGGGGGCAACCCUGAUCCAGCAAUGCCGCGUGUGUGAAGAAGGCCUG